RNAcentral lists this ribosomal RNA (247 nucleotides) under uncultured bacterium. RNAcentral's name for it is "partial 16S ribosomal RNA". It matches the Rfam family "Bacterial small subunit ribosomal RNA", at positions 523 to 769 of the family's 1533-position model. The record is from RNAcentral.
AUACGUAGGGGGCAAGCGUUGUCCGGAAUGAUUGGGCGUAAAGGGCGCGUAGGCGGCCUGUUAAGUCUGGAGUGAAAGUCCUGCUUUCAAGGUGGGAAUUGCUUUGGAAACUGGCGGGCUGGAGUGCAGGAGAGGUUAGCGGAAUUCCCGGUGUAGCGGUGAAAUGCGUAGAGAUCGGGAGGAACACCAGUGGCGAAGGCGGCUAACUGGACUGUGUCUGACGCUGAGGCGCGAAAGCCAGGGGAGC